GUUAGCAUUUAAGCUAGCGGACUUUUUCCGCUAACUCGUUAGCAUUUAAGCUAGCGGACUUUUUCCGCUAACUCGUUAGCAUUUAAGCUAGCCGACUUCAUCGUUGCAGACUUUCUCCAGAGUUUAUGAACAACUAACGGAUGCAUUGGCCGAAAGAGAAAGAGAGUGGCAUGACAUGAGAAUAAGUGGUUACUUCUGAGAUGAUGACAUCCACCAAGAAGCCCCUGAUGAAAAGAAGGCACUCCUGAACCUCUUUUCUGAUCAGAGGCAGCAGGAAUACUUUUCAGUUUCUUAUGGGAAUUGGCAAAGAAACUCUGACUGACAUAAUCAAACACUUUGAUGAGAAUGGGGCAACACCACGGUUAAGGAAGAAGGGCCCACAGCCACGGCCACCCAAGUUAGUCAGCCGUGAACAGACCUACCGAGCCGUGGAAUUUAUUUAUUAGGGAUUGGCAUGUGAAGUUGCUGCCAACCCAUGUGUUCAAGGCCUCAAUGUGGCAUCUAUACAUGAAGACUGCUAAGGAGCUUGGAAGGGAUACCGUGUGUAGCAGCACGUGUGUGGUUGACGAGUGCCGGACACCAGCCGGGCAUCGACGGUCGUGACGGACUCACUGGAGGCGUAAGCCGCAGCUGCAGCUGCCAUGUCCCAUCACAUUUCCCCUGACAGUUUUCAUCAUCUAUUUCGAGUCGUCUCGGGAGAACCUCGUUUUUGACGCGGCAAUUUGAAGUUGUAAUAAUGACAACAACGCACCCAAAAUCGGUGAGUAUAGUAUCGAAGGUUACAUUUUCAUUUUGUGGUAAUCAAAACACAUGAUUCGCCUGCUACGCUUCCUAUUGCAGGACUGUUGCUUCCUCAAAUGAACACCCCUCACCUGAUCAUUAGAUGCUGAUCUGGUGAUUUGAUCCACUACAAUUUCUCAUGAGCUGAAGGAAGAGUUAUGUGACACACUCUGCAGCGUGAGAACAAUGGUGUGAUCAGGGAUUGCUCUAUAUUGUUCCUCAGCCAUCAGCCAGUGAGUGAAUUAUACAGAGGUUUGGGUGCAGAGAGGAGAUUUCUCUCAGCUCAGCUCGGCAGGAGCUUGUCAAGUUUGCCUCAGAAGCAGCAACAGUAUUUUUCAGAAGUGCUUAUUAGAAAAUAAUGUUACAGAAAGCGUUAUAGAACAGCUUGCUCACUUUGAGGAGCUUUAUUUAUUCACCAAAUUACAUGAAAGUGGCAGCAACUGUGCAGCUGGGACCCUCUCUGUGAAGCGUUCGUGUCUUCUCCUCCUAUGGGUUUUCUCUGGUGCUCCGCUUGCUCCCGUAUAAAAGAUCAGGAUAAAUACGGUCAGUGUUGUCCUUUUGUAUUAGUGCUGCUGAGCACUGUUAAGAGUCACAUUGUGAAUGCUUUUCAGUUAGGAGAUUAUCACAGACUGAAAAGAAUAUUGUCUUGAUCUUCAUUCAAGAGUCUUUGGAACUUGUGGGUAACUGAGGGUGUUUGUUUCAGAGCAGGAUAAAUAAUGACACAUCAUAUCAGACUGUGAAGACUUGGUGGUGAAUGGUGUACAUUAAAACGGUGUCAAACUGGCGGCCCACCAUUUAAUAUCAUGUUUUAAUGCAAACAUGGCCCACCAACUUUCUUUAAACACAGUGUGUGAGGAACAGCUGCCAGCGAGGUGAUAGAAUAUAGACAAAAUAUAAUAUUAACAUUAAUACAACUUGCAUACAUUCAACAUUAUGAUUUGGCGCUAUACAAAUAAAAUUGAAUUUAAUUGAAUUGAAAUUAAUUGAACAUUACUUUACAUGUAUAUAAGUUUGUUGAUUUUUUUGAUUACAAGUGUCUGUUUUUGAUACCAAUAGAUUUAUUUUGCAUAAUUAUUGUGGUGUUUUUUUUUUAUUGUGAAGUAUGUACUUUUACUUUCAAUGUAUGUGAAAUAUCAUCAGGAUUUUUUUUAAGCUCAUAAUGCCCACCCCCCUCUUGACCAGACUAGAUGCCCACAGGUCAUUUUGAGUUUGACACCUCUGGUGUACAUCCAUGGUUCCCAACCUGGAGUCCAAGCACCAGAGAUCACACGGGGGGGCCGCAGAGCUUUGUCUGCUCUGAGGUUGUGAGGUUAUUAAAAUCACAUUUGUGCUUAUUAAAUUUAGAAACUCCCACUGACACUCUUUUGGUUAAUCGGAACUCAGUGUCACCCAAAUUUGGGUUCACCCUUAAAUGUAUUAAGCUAUUUUGAACUUCUGUGACCUCCCCAAACGCGUUACUAUUCAUAUUCAAUUCAAUUCAAUUCACUUCAAUUUUAUUUGUAGAUUUGAUGGAAGCACAGAGCAGUUUUUUUUUUUUUAUCAAAUAUCCGCUGUGAGAAUAGGAACAAAAACCUAGAACUGCUGCUUAUUUUUUGCAUAUAAACGUUUGUAAUAUUUAUCCUUGUGGUGUGUGUGCAUGGACAGGGGUUCGGGUUGGCGGUGCCUGCUUUGUCUUAGACACAGUAAAGGUUGGGAACCCCUGGUGUACAUGACAACGGAGCGAUGUAUAACGCAUAAAAAGAAGAAUCAGAAUAAACUUUGACCGAAGCAUGUAACACAUUAAUCUUUCUGACUGAACUGAGUGCUAGAGCUUUCAUGAAUGAUUUGAUUUAUUAUUUAUUUACUUAGAAACCCACAUCACAGUGCAAACGCAGUCAGAAUAUGGAGCUGUUUAACACCGAUUAUACUUCACCCCUAUCUUCUCCGACAUCAGCUUUAAUUGUAGAAUGGAUGCUUGUGUUUGUACGUUAGACCCUGUGAUAGACUGAUGAUUGUGUACCUUCCCUCUCCUCCACUGACUGAUGGAAUUGGCUCGAGCUCCGCCACCUGUGACCCUCAAAUUAUUGGGUGAGAUGGGUGAAUGGGUGCAUUGGU
Molecule: long non-coding RNA, 2874 nt
Organism: Solea solea (common sole)
Lineage: Eukaryota; Metazoa; Chordata; Actinopteri; Pleuronectiformes; Soleidae
Exons: 4
Source: RefSeq, a predicted model, not a curated record